CUACACGGCAAAAAACGCUCAGGUUGAUGCAAUACUGAUGAAAACAGGAUUGAACAAUGCUUUGCUGCCCACAUUGUUCACAGUUGUCAACAAUAUUGAACAAUGUUGUUACACCCGAUUCAGGCUCAACAACAUUGUUCAGUAUUGUUGACAAGUGUGAACAACGUGGGCAGCAAAACAUUGUUCAGUCCUGUUGAGCAACGGGCUCGGCGUUUUUUGCCGUG
Molecule: non-coding RNA, 224 nt
Organism: Paramuricea clavata
Lineage: Eukaryota; Metazoa; Cnidaria; Anthozoa; Malacalcyonacea; Plexauridae
Source: the annotation of a GenBank genome assembly